AUAAUAGGGCUGUUUGUUUGGUUCUCGCAGGUUCCUGCGGCAAUGUUUUUCAAUUUUUUUGUUCGUUUGAUUGACGCAGGUCCUUGCGUCUAACCGCUGCGUCUGACGCCACGUCCUGCGAUCGACUCUCUGAAAUCCCGCGGUCGCGACAUAAAUGAUGCGGCCAGAAGGUCAAUUUACAUUUUUACCCUUAACAUCUUUCAAUAUUUACAAAUAAACCUAGCCCUAAUUAGAUGUUUUAGUUAAUGACUUUUUUUUUUUUUUUUUUGAAGUUCGCCCUAGAGAGAAUCUCUCUCGAGCCCGCAUCCCAAGGCGCCGUUUCGAUGGAUCUUCCUUGCUCCAACCACGAC
This 350-nucleotide long non-coding RNA is filed under the name Brassica napus (rape). Its description in RNAcentral is "long non-coding RNA (BNAP_LNC009072)". The record is from RNAcentral. Lineage: Eukaryota; Viridiplantae; Streptophyta; Magnoliopsida; Brassicales; Brassicaceae.